Molecule: ribosomal RNA, 429 nt
Filed under: Acidobacteriota bacterium
Lineage: Bacteria; Pseudomonadati; Acidobacteriota
Description: Acidobacteria bacterium partial 16S ribosomal RNA
Rfam family: Bacterial small subunit ribosomal RNA
Source: RNAcentral
UGGGGAAUUUUGGACAAUGGGGGAAACCCUGAUCCAGCCAUCCCGCGUGUGCGAUGAAGGCCUUCGGGUUGUAAAGCACUUUUGGCAGGAAAGAAACGUCAUGGGUUAAUACCCCGUGAAACUGACGGUACCUGCAGAAUAAGCACCGGCUAACUACGUGCCAGCAGCCGCGGUAAUACGUAGGGUGCAAGCGUUAAUCGGAAUUACUGGGCGUAAAGCGUGCGCAGGCGGUUCGGAAAGAAAGAUGUGAAAUCCCAGAGCUCAACUUUGGAACUGCAUUUUUAACUACCGGGCUAAAGUGUGUCAGCGGGAGGUGGAAUUCCGCGUGUAGCAGUGAAAUGCGUAGAUAUGCGGAGGAACACCGAUGGCGAAGGCAGCCUCCUGGGAUAACACUGACGCUCAUGCACGAAAGCGUGGGGAGCAAACAGG